Molecule: long non-coding RNA, 214 nt
Filed under: Lathyrus oleraceus (garden pea)
Lineage: Eukaryota; Viridiplantae; Streptophyta; Magnoliopsida; Fabales; Fabaceae
Description: Pisum sativum (pea) long non-coding RNA (PSAT_LNC003984)
Source: RNAcentral
UUUCUUAUUUUUUUUUCAAAACGCGUGGGCUUCGCCUAGCGAGCAUGACAGUUCAAGAAAUUCCUCUGAGCGUAGGUGAUUCUGGUGGCUUUUCUUGGGACUCGCUAGGCCAUCCAUUCUGCGCGCCUAGUGAGCAUGACAGCUCAUGAACAAACUUUUGCUCCUUCAAGAUUAACGUUUUGACUGAUGAAUAGAACCCAUUUGAACAUGUUGG